This 777-nucleotide ribosomal RNA is filed under the name uncultured Neocallimastigales. RNAcentral describes it as "partial large subunit ribosomal RNA". It matches the Rfam family "Eukaryotic large subunit ribosomal RNA", at positions 23 to 642 of the family's 3401-position model. Lineage: Eukaryota; Fungi; Neocallimastigomycota; Neocallimastigomycetes; Neocallimastigales. The record is from RNAcentral.
AACACGCAUGACACACUGCAUAUCAAUAAGCGGAGGAAAAGAAACUAACAAGGAUUCCCUUAGUAACGGCGAGUGAAGCGGGAAGAGCUCAAAUUUGAAAUCUUCAAGGUUCUACCUUGACGAAUUGUAGUUUAUAGAAGUGUUUUCUGUUAGUGGAGUGGCAAAAGUUCUUUGGAAUAGGACAUCAUAGAGGGUGAGAAUCCCGUAUUUGGUCAUUCCUCCUAGCGUUGUGAUACACUUUCAACGAGUCGGAUUGUUUGGGAAUGCAGUCCAAAAUGGGUGGUAAAUUUCAUCUAAAGCUAAAUAUUGGCGAGAGACCGAUAGCGAACAAGUACCGUGAGGGAAAGAUGAAAAGAACUUUGAAAAGAGAGUUAAACAGUACGUGAAAUUGUCAAAAGGGAAGCGUUUGACACCAGUGUUGUUUUUUCCGAAAAUCAAUUACGAAUGUUUUGUUUUUGAGGAGUUAUGACUUCAUCGGCUUGCUCCUUUCUUUAUGAAACUUUCUUAAUGCACUUUUCGGUUAACAAGUCAACAUCAAUUUCUUUUGUUGUAAAAGGGUAUGAGGAAGGUGGCUUUCUUUUCGGAGAAAGUGUUUAUAGCCUUGUGCCUCUGCAAUCGGAGAGAUUGAGGUCUGCAGCGUAGAUCCUUCGGGGUUAGAUACAUUUGUGCUAAGUUAUAGCUUUUCAUAGACAACUUGUUGACUAUAGUUUAGUCUUGUAGCUUACUCGCUUAUGCUAUUUUACCUACGCUUAGGAUGUUGAGCGCAUGUCUCUCUCU